GGUUAAGUUAGAAAGGGCGCACGGUGGAUGCCUUGGCACUAGGAGCCGAAGAAGGACGGGACUAACACCGAUAUGCUUUGGGGAGCUGUACGUAAGCGUUGAUCCAGAGAUUUCCGAAUGGGGGAACCCACUAUCUUUAGUCGGAUAGUAUCCUUACGUGAAUACAUAGCGUGAGGAAGGCAGACCCAGGGAACUGAAACAUCUAAGUACCUGGAGGAAGAGAAAGAAAAAUCGAUUUCCUGAGUAGCGGCGAGCGAAACGGAAAGAGCCCAAACCAAGAAGCUUGCUUCUUGGGGUUGUAGGACACUCUAUACGGAGUUACAAAAGAAAGUUAUAAAUGAAGCGGUCUGGAAAGGCCCGCCAAAGACGGUAACAGCCCGGUAGUUGAAAUAGCUUUCCCUCCAGAGUGGAUCCUGAGUACGGCGGAACACGUGAAAUUCCGUCGGAAUCCGGGAGGACCAUCUCCCAAGGCUAAAUACUCCCUAGUGACCGAUAGUGAACCAGUACCGUGAGGGAAAGGUGAAAAGCACCCCGGAAGGGGAGUGAAACAGUUCCUGAAACCGUGUGCCUACAAGUAGUUAGAGCCCGUUAAUGGGUGAUAGCGUGCCUUUUGUAGAAUGAACCGGCGAGUUACGAUUUGUUGCAAGGUUAAGCGGAAAAAGCGGAGCCGUAGCGAAAGCGAGUCUGAAUAGGGCGCAUAAGUAACAGGUCGUAGACCCGAAACCAGGUGAUCUACCCAUGUCCAGGAUGAAGGUAAGGUAAUACUUACUGGAGGUCCGAACCCACGCACGUUGAAAAGUGCGGGGAUGAGGUGUGGGUAGCGGAGAAAUUCCAAUCGAACUUGGAGAUAGCUGGUUCUCUCCGAAAUAGCUUUAGGGCUAGCCUCGAGGUAAAGAGUCAUGGAGGUAGAGCACUGUUUGGACUAGGGGCCCUUCUCGGGUUACCGAAUUCAGAUAAACUCCGAAUGCCAUGUACUUAUACUCGGGAGUCAGACUGCGAGUGAUAAGAUCCGUAGUCGAAAGGGAAACAGCCCAGACCACCAGUUAAGGUCCCCAAAUAUAUGUUAAGUGGAAAAGGAUGUGGGGUUGCUUAGACAACCAGGAUGUUGGCUUAGAAGCAGCCACCAUUGAAAGAGUGCGUAAUAGCUCACUGGUCGAGUGACCCCGCGCCGAAAAUGUACCGGGGCUAAACAUAUUACCGAAACUGUGGAUGAACCUCUUUAGAGGUUCGUGGUAGGAGAGCGUUCUAAGGGCGGUGAAGUCAGACCGGAAGGACUGGUGGAGCGCUUAGAAGUGAGAAUGCCGGUAUGAGUAGCGAAAGAAGGGUGAGAAUCCCUUCCACCGAAUAUCUAAGGUUUCCUGAGGAAGGCUCGUCCGCUCAGGGUUAGUCGGGACCUAAGCCGAGGCCGAUAGGCGUAGGCGAUGGACAACAGGUAGAGAUUCCUGUACCAGUGCUAAUUGUUUAACCGAUGGGGUGACACAGAAGGAUAGGGAAUCGCACGAAUGGAAAUGUGCGUCCAAGCAGUGAGUGUGAGAAGUAGGCAAAUCCGCUUCUCGCGAAGCAUGAGCUGUGAUGGGGAAGGAAAUUAAGUACGGAAGUUCCUGAUUUCACGCUGUCAAGAAAAGCCUCUAGGAAGAGUAGUACUGCCCGUACCGCAAACCGACACAGGUAGAUGAGGAGAGAAUCCUAAGGUGAGCGAGAGAACUCUCGUUAAGGAACUCGGCAAAAUGACCCCGUAACUUCGGGAGAAGGGGUGCUCUAUUAGGGUGCAAGCCCGAGAGAGCCGCAGUGAAUAGGCCCAGGCGACUGUUUAGCAAAAACACAGGUCUCUGCAAAACCGUAAGGUGACGUA
RNAcentral lists this ribosomal RNA (1852 nucleotides) under Listeria monocytogenes. Its description in RNAcentral is "partial 23S ribosomal RNA". It matches the Rfam family "Bacterial large subunit ribosomal RNA", at positions 1 to 1845 of the family's 2925-position model. The record is from RNAcentral. Lineage: Bacteria; Bacillati; Bacillota; Bacilli; Caryophanales; Listeriaceae.